Molecule: transfer RNA, 74 nt
Filed under: Macellibacteroides fermentans
Lineage: Bacteria; Pseudomonadati; Bacteroidota; Bacteroidia; Bacteroidales; Porphyromonadaceae
Also listed under: 2 other names
Description: tRNA_His_GTG
Rfam family: tRNA
About the family: Transfer RNA (tRNA) molecules are approximately 80 nucleotides in length. Their secondary structure includes four short double-helical elements and three loops (D, anti-codon, and T loops). Further hydrogen bonds mediate the characteristic L-shaped molecular structure. tRNAs have two regions of fundamental functional importance: the anti-codon, which is responsible for specific mRNA codon recognition, and the 3' end, to which the tRNAs corresponding amino acid is attached (by aminoacyl-tRNA synthetases). tRNAs cope with the degeneracy of the genetic code in two manners: having more than one tRNA (with a specific anti-codon) for a particular amino acid; and 'wobble' base-pairing, i.e. permitting non-standard base-pairing at the 3rd anti-codon position.
Source: RNAcentral
GUGGUUGUAGUUCAGUGGUAGAGCACCUGAUUGUGGUUCAGGGUGUCGCGGGUUCGAAUCCCGUCUUCCACCCA